This 59-nucleotide transfer RNA is filed under the name Trioza erytreae. Its description in RNAcentral is "tRNA-Gly". Lineage: Eukaryota; Metazoa; Arthropoda; Insecta; Hemiptera; Triozidae. The record is from RNAcentral.
UUUCAUUAGUAUAAAUAUUACAUUUAAUUUCCAAUUAAAAAAUCAUUUUGAUGAAAUAA